UGGGGGUUUACAGCCAGGUCUAGAGAGACAACUCACCAUCUCAUUCAGCAGCUUGAGGAUGCUGAUCGUGAGCUCCUUUCCUGCAUGUAAAAAGCAUCUGAAGGGAUGUUCCUGAGCGAGCAGCCACUCAUGACAUGAACUUCUGGACACACCCAUUGAGAUAA
Molecule: long non-coding RNA, 164 nt
Organism: Salvelinus namaycush (lake trout)
Lineage: Eukaryota; Metazoa; Chordata; Actinopteri; Salmoniformes; Salmonidae
Exons: 2
Source: RefSeq, a predicted model, not a curated record